Molecule: ribosomal RNA, 305 nt
Filed under: uncultured bacterium
Lineage: Bacteria
Description: bacterial SSU rRNA
Rfam family: Bacterial small subunit ribosomal RNA
Source: RNAcentral
CUGGCCUACGGGGCGCAGCAGUGAGGAAUAUUGGUCAAUGGACGAGAGUCUGAACCAGCCAAGUCGCGUGAGGGAAGACUGCCCUAUGGGUUGUAAACCUCUUUUAUAAGGGAAGAAUAAUGACUACGUGUAGUCAGAUGCCCGUACCUUAUGAAUAAGCAUCGGCUAACUCCGUGCCAGCAGCCGCGGUAAUACGGAGGAUGCGAGCGUUAUCCGGAUUUAUUGGGUUUAAAGGGUGCGUAGGCGGUAUUUUAAGUUAGUGGUAAAACGUCGGGGCUUCACCUUGAUUGGCCAUUAAAACUGGG